Molecule: non-coding RNA, 24 nt
Filed under: Arabidopsis thaliana (thale cress)
Lineage: Eukaryota; Viridiplantae; Streptophyta; Magnoliopsida; Brassicales; Brassicaceae
Source: RNAcentral
AUAGUUAAAGACAUCCAUGUAUGU